RNAcentral lists this ribosomal RNA (253 nucleotides) under uncultured bacterium. RNAcentral describes it as "partial 16S ribosomal RNA". It matches the Rfam family "Bacterial small subunit ribosomal RNA", at positions 524 to 776 of the family's 1533-position model. The record is from RNAcentral.
UACGGGGGGAGCAAGCGUUGUUCGGAUUCAUUGGGCGUAAAGGGUGUGUAGGUGGCGCCGUAAGUCGGGUGUGAAAUUUUAGAGCUUAACUCUGAAACUGCAUUCGAUACUGCGGUGCUUGAGGACUGGAGAGGAGACUGGAAUUUACGGUGUAGCAGUGAAAUGCGUAGAUAUCGUAAGGAAGACCAGUGGCGAAGGCGGGUCUCUGGACAGUUCCUGACACUGAGACACGAAGGCCAGGGGAGCAAACAGG